UGAAGGGCGUGCUAAUCUGCGAUAAGCGCCGGUAAGGUGAUAUGAACCGUUAUAACCGGCGAUACCCGAAUGGGGAAACCCAGUGUGACUCGUCACACUAUCAUUAACUGAAUCCAUAGGUUAAUGAGGCGAACCGGGGGAACUGAAACAUCUAAGUACCCCGAGGAAAAGAAAUCAACCGAGAUUCCCCCAGUAGCGGCGAGCGAACGGGGAGGAGCCCAGAGCCUGAAUCAGCAUGUGUGUUAGUGGAAGCGUCUGGAAAGGCGCGCGAUACAGGGUGACAGCCCCGUACACAAAAGCGCAUGUGCUGUGAGCUCGAUGAGUAGGGCGGGACACGUGGUAUCCUGUCUGAAUAUGGGGGGACCAUCCUCCAAGGCUAAAUACUCCUGACUGACCGAUAGUGAACCAGUACCGUGAGGGAAAGGCGAAAAGAACCCCGGCGAGGGGAGUGAAAAAGAACCUGAAACCGUGUACGUACAAGCAGUGGGAGCCCCACCACCAAAGCAUUUGCUGUACCGCGUUGACGGAGCGAAGCGACGUCAAACCGAUAAAACAGCAGUGUAAAGUGAGCCGCAGGGCGCUUUGCGCGACAGCGCAAAGGCAGGCGGUUUCGCGUAGCGAAAGCGAAUGCUUUGGGGUGGGGUGACUGCGUACCUUUUGUAUAAUGGGUCAGCGACUUAUAUUCUGUAGCAAGGUUAACCGAAUAGGGGAGCCGGAGGGAAACCGAGUCUUAAUUGGGCGUUAAGUUGCAGGGUAUAGACCCGAAACCCGGUGAUCUAGCCAUGGGCAGGUUGAAGGUUGGGUAACACUAACUGGAGGACCGAACCGACUAAUGUUGAAAAAUUAGCGGAUGACCUGUGGCUGGGGGUGAAAGGCCAAUCAAACCGGGAGAUAGCUGGUUCUCCCCGAAAGCUAUUUAGGUAGCGCCUCGUGAAUUCAUCUCCGGGGGUAGAGCACUGUUUCGGCUAGGGGGCCAUCCCGGCUUACCAACCCGAUGCAAACUGCGAAUACCGGAGAAUGUUAUCACGGGAGACACACGGCGGGUGCUAACGUCCGUCGUGAAGAGGGAAACAACCCAGACCGCCAGCUAAGGUCCCAAAGUCAUGGUUAAGUGGGAAACGAUGUGGGAAGGCCCAGACAGCCAGGAUGUUGGCUUAGAAGCAGCCAUCAUUUAAAGAAAGCGUAAUAGCUCACUGGUCGAGUCGGCCUGCGCGGAAGAUGUAACGGGGCUAAACCAUGCACCGAAGCUGCGGCAGCGACACUGUGUGUUGUUGGGUAGGGGAGCGUUCUGUAAGCCUGUGAAGGUGUGUCGUGAGGCAUGCUGGAGGUAUCAGAAGUGCGAAUGCUGACAUAAGUAACGAUAAAGCGGGUGAAAAGCCCGCUCGCCGGAAGACCAAGGGUUCCUGUCCAACGUUAAUCGGGGCAGGGUGAGUCGACCCCUAAGGCGAGGCCGAAAGGCGUAGUCGAUGGGAAACGGGUUAAUAUUCCCGUACUUGGUGUUACUGCGAAGGGGGGACGGAGAAGGCUAUGUUGGCCGGG
RNAcentral lists this ribosomal RNA (1539 nucleotides) under Salmonella enterica. RNAcentral's name for it is "partial 23S ribosomal RNA". It matches the Rfam family "Bacterial large subunit ribosomal RNA", at positions 50 to 1495 of the family's 2925-position model. RNAcentral also lists the same sequence under 1 other name. The record is from RNAcentral. Lineage: Bacteria; Pseudomonadati; Pseudomonadota; Gammaproteobacteria; Enterobacterales; Enterobacteriaceae.